RNAcentral lists this ribosomal RNA (332 nucleotides) under uncultured eukaryote. RNAcentral describes it as "partial 18S ribosomal RNA". It matches the Rfam family "Eukaryotic small subunit ribosomal RNA", at positions 1470 to 1796 of the family's 1831-position model. The record is from RNAcentral.
CCCUUAGAUGUCCUGGGCUGCACGCGCGCUACACUGGAAGUUACGGAUUGAGAUACUACCUUGUCCGAAAUGGUCCGGGUAAUCACCUAAAAGCUUGUCAUAAUUGGAAUGGAUUAUUGUAACUAGUAAUCCUGAACGAGGAAUUCCUAGUAAGUCCCAGUCAACAGCUGGUACUGAUUACGUCCCUGCCCUUUGUACACACCGCCCGUCGCUACUACUGAUUGGACGUUUAAGCAAGAUUUUUAAACACUGACAGUGUGUAGUUCACGCUAUACUACAGUGAGAAGAAGAAGAUCGGGCUUACUUGUCUAGAGGAAGUAAAAGUCGUAACA